GCUUAGAGAGGGGUCAAUGUCCUAUCAGCUAGUUGGUAAGGUAAUGGCUUACCAAGGCUAAGACGGGUAGCCGGCCUGAGAGGGUGGUCGGCCACACUGGGACUGAGACACUGCCCAGACUCCUACGGGAGGCUGCAGUCGAGAGUCUUUCGCAAUGCCCGAAAGGGUGACGAAGCGACGCCGCGUGUGGGAAGAAGGCCUUCGGGUUGUAAACCACUGUCGGGAGUUAAGAAAUGUAAGGGUGUUAAUAGCAUCCUUACUUGACUAAGGCUCCGGAGGAAGCCACGGCUAACUCUGUGCCAGCAGCCGCGGUAAUACAGAGGCGGCAAGCGUUGUUCGGAAUUAUUGGGCGUAAAGAGCACGUAGGCGGCUUUGUAAGUCAGUUGUGAAAGCCUUCCGCUUAACGGAAGAACAGCAUCUGAUACUGCAAGGCUAGAGUGCGGAAGGG
RNAcentral lists this ribosomal RNA (448 nucleotides) under uncultured Planctomycetota bacterium. Its description in RNAcentral is "bacterial SSU rRNA". It matches the Rfam family "Bacterial small subunit ribosomal RNA", at positions 217 to 656 of the family's 1533-position model. The record is from RNAcentral. Lineage: Bacteria; Pseudomonadati; Planctomycetota.